UACUCUUGGUGGUGGAUCACUUGGCUAGUGUGUUGAUGAAGGAUGCAGCUAGCUGCGAGAAUUAAUGUGAAUUGCAGGACACAUUGAUCAACGACACUUUGAACGCACGUUGUAUCCCCAGGUCUUUCCCAGGGCCACGUCUGUCUGAGGGUCA
Ribosomal RNA from Erpetoichthys calabaricus (reedfish), 154 nucleotides. It matches the Rfam family "5.8S ribosomal RNA". Rfam says of the family: 5.8S ribosomal RNA (5.8S rRNA) is a component of the large subunit of the eukaryotic ribosome. It is transcribed by RNA polymerase I as part of the 45S precursor that also contains 18S and 28S rRNA. NCBI's taxonomy places the organism in Eukaryota, Metazoa, Chordata, Cladistia, Polypteriformes, Polypteridae. The record is from Ensembl.